UACCAGCACCCCGAGUGGUCGGGACGAUUAUUGGGCCUAAAGCAUCCGUAGCCGGUUUUACAAGUCCUCCGUUAAAUCCACCUGCUUAACAGAUGGGCUGCGGAGGAUACUACAAGGCUAGGAGGCGGAAGAGGCAAGCGGUACUCAGUGGGUAGGGGUAAAAUCCUCUGAUCCAUUGAAGACCACCAGUGGCGAAGGCGGCUUGCCAAUACGCGCUCGACGGUGAGGGAUGAAAGCUGGGGGAGCAAACCGG
Molecule: ribosomal RNA, 253 nt
Filed under: uncultured bacterium
Lineage: Bacteria
Also listed under: 1 other name
Description: partial 16S ribosomal RNA
Rfam family: Archaeal small subunit ribosomal RNA
Source: RNAcentral